UAUUUUAUUAAUAUAAAUAAGUAUAUUUGAUUUCCAAUCAAAAAGUUUAAUUUUAAAUAAAAU
RNAcentral lists this transfer RNA (63 nucleotides) under Appendiseta robiniae. RNAcentral describes it as "tRNA-Gly". The record is from RNAcentral. Lineage: Eukaryota; Metazoa; Arthropoda; Insecta; Hemiptera; Aphididae.